AAAACAGUAAAUUUUCUUCUACUAACAUCCAUUUAGUUGAGUUGUUUCUCUAACCUCUCUCAUGAUGGCACAUGCAGUCUUUUUAAUUUCUGGAUCAAGCGGUGUCAAUUCUAAUCCCGAGUUACACAUACGCAAAUAAGAAAUACCUUGGUAGCACUGUAAUUAAAAUAUUACGAGAAAACAAAAAUAAAAAAUAAAAAAUAAAAAAGCAAAACAUUGCAUAAGCGUUGCCUUGUUGAAAUUAUC
Molecule: long non-coding RNA, 246 nt
Filed under: Lathyrus oleraceus (garden pea)
Lineage: Eukaryota; Viridiplantae; Streptophyta; Magnoliopsida; Fabales; Fabaceae
Description: Pisum sativum (pea) long non-coding RNA (PSAT_LNC018372)
Source: RNAcentral